Long non-coding RNA from Mauremys reevesii (Reeves's turtle), 482 nucleotides. RefSeq lists it as uncharacterized. The record is from RefSeq and is a predicted model, not a curated record. Lineage: Eukaryota; Metazoa; Chordata; Testudines; Geoemydidae. The transcript is spliced from 4 exons.
CUCUAGAUCUGGAAGUUCUAACCUCCUGUUGAAUUCUACAGUGUGCAAUGAACAACCCCUCAUUAUGACUCAGUGGGCAAUGAAGCCUGAACCUUCAUCAUUACAGCACAAACUAACUCUUGACCUACAGGACCAACUACAAUAACUGAUAGCAGUUGUUCAAGACAUCCUGCGCCAAGACCUAGAACUACAGUCCCAGAGAUUUACCAGAGUAUGCUGCUGAAGUAUUUGCCACUACCCUAACUUUUUCUUGAUGUUCAAAUGCUGACGGAUCCAAACAGCACACUGUGCUCUCUCAAAAGAGUCAAGCCUCACAGUCCAAUGGUAACUGUUACUUGUUACAGAGCUGCUACAUUGUAUUCCUUCAGUCUCUUUUGUAUACUCUAACAAUGCACCAGUCUGACUGCAGGAUGGUUUCCGGGAGCAGAUUCCAAUUGGAGACAGGGGUCAUCACAUGAGUAUUGCUUCUUGUUGCCCACUCA